CAAUAGCAUAUAUUAACGUUGUUGCAGUUGAAAAGCUCGUAGUUGAACUUUUGGUAGGAGCGACCUGGCCUUGGGCGCAUGCCCUUGUUUGCCGUGUGUCGUGUCUGGCCAUCCUUUUCUUCUUUUUGGAAGGAAUCCUUUACUGUGAGUAAACUGGAGUGCUCAAAACAAGACGUUUGUUUGGUACAUUAAAGCAUGGAAUAAUAAGAUAGGACCUGGUUACUAUUUUGUUGGUUUGCAUAGCUAGGUAAUGAUUAACAGGGACAGUUGGGGGUAUUCGUAUUUAAUUGUCAGAGGUGAAAUUCUUGGAUUUAUGAAAGACGAACGACUGCGAAAGCAUUUACCAAGGAUGUUUUCAUUA
RNAcentral lists this ribosomal RNA (361 nucleotides) under uncultured eukaryote. RNAcentral's name for it is "partial 18S ribosomal RNA". It matches the Rfam family "Eukaryotic small subunit ribosomal RNA", at positions 592 to 975 of the family's 1831-position model. The record is from RNAcentral.